UACGGGGGGGGCAAGCGUUGUUCGGAAUUACUGGGCGUAAAGGGCGCGUAGGCGGCCCGCUAAGUCGAACGUGAAAUCCCCGAGCUCAACUCGGAACGGUCAAGUGAAACUGUCAUGCUAGAGUGCAGAAGGGGCAAUCGGAAUUCUUGGUGUAGCGGUGAAAUGCGUAGAUAUCAAGAGGAACACCUGAGGUGAAGACGGGUUGCUGGGCUGACACUGACGCUGAGGCGCGAAAGCCAGGGGAGCAAACGGG
This 253-nucleotide ribosomal RNA is filed under the name uncultured bacterium. RNAcentral's name for it is "partial 16S ribosomal RNA". It matches the Rfam family "Bacterial small subunit ribosomal RNA", at positions 524 to 776 of the family's 1533-position model. The record is from RNAcentral.